CCCUUCGACCAUACCACCCUGAAUACGCCCGAUCUCGGACGCUAAGCAGGUUCGGGCCUAGCUAGUACCUGGACAGGAGACACCAGGUGUUGUAGGCU
RNAcentral lists this ribosomal RNA (98 nucleotides) under Eptatretus burgeri (inshore hagfish). Lineage: Eukaryota; Metazoa; Chordata; Myxini; Myxiniformes; Myxinidae. The record is from RNAcentral.